UAGAGGGAUGGAGGUGAAGGUAAAGGGAUGGAGGUGAAGGGAUAAAGGUAGAGGGAUGGAGGUGAAGGUAGAGGGAUGGAGGUGAAGGUAGAGGGAUGGAGGUGAAGGUGGAGGGAUGGAGGUGAAGGUAGAGGGAUGGAGGUGAAGGGAUGAAGGUAGAGGGAUGGAGGUGAAGGUAGAGGGAUGGAGGUGAAGGGAUGAAGGUGAAGGUGGAGGAAUGAAGGUGAAGGGAUGAAAGUAGAGCGAUGGAGGUGAAUGUGGAGGGAUGGAGGUGAAGGGAUGAAGGUAGAGGGAUGGAGGUGAAGGUGGAGGAAUGGAGGUGAAGGUGGAGCAAUGGAGAUGAAAGUGGUGGGAUGAAGGUGAAGGUAGAGGGAUGGAGGUGAAGGGAUGAAGGGAGGGAUGGAGGUGAAUGGAUGAGGGUAGAGGGAUGGAGGUGAAGGUAGAGGGAUGGAGGUGAAGGUAGCGGCAUGG
Long non-coding RNA from Oncorhynchus tshawytscha (Chinook salmon), 471 nucleotides. Lineage: Eukaryota; Metazoa; Chordata; Actinopteri; Salmoniformes; Salmonidae. The record is from Ensembl.